This 253-nucleotide ribosomal RNA is filed under the name uncultured bacterium. RNAcentral's name for it is "partial 16S ribosomal RNA". It matches the Rfam family "Bacterial small subunit ribosomal RNA", at positions 524 to 776 of the family's 1533-position model. The record is from RNAcentral.
UACGGAGGGGACUAGCGUUGUUCGGAAUUACUGGGCGUAAAGCGCGCGUAGGCGGAUUUGCAAGUCGGGGGUGAAAGCCCGAGGCUCAACCUCGGAACUGCCUUUGAUACUGCAAAUCUCGAGUCCGGAAGAGGUGAGUGGAAUUCCUAGUGUAGAGGUGAAAUUCGUAGAUAUUAGGAAGAACACCAGUGGCGAAGGCGGCUCACUGGUCCGGUACUGACGCUGAGGUGCGAAAGCGUGGGGAGCAAACAGG